This 80-nucleotide microRNA precursor is filed under the name Plutella xylostella (diamondback moth). RNAcentral describes it as "mir-750 microRNA precursor family". It matches the Rfam family "mir-750 microRNA precursor family". Lineage: Eukaryota; Metazoa; Arthropoda; Insecta; Lepidoptera; Plutellidae. The record is from Rfam by way of RNAcentral.
UCCACGUCUGAGUUGGACAGGGGAUCUAGACAGUUCGCAACAUACUUCUGCCAGAUCUAACUUUCCAGCUCACGCGUGGA